Molecule: ribosomal RNA, 253 nt
Filed under: uncultured bacterium
Lineage: Bacteria
Description: partial 16S ribosomal RNA
Rfam family: Archaeal small subunit ribosomal RNA
Source: RNAcentral
UACCAGCACCCCGAGUGGUCGGGACGAUUAUUGGGCCUAAAGCAUCCGUAGCCGGUCAUGUAAGUCCUCCGUUAAAUCCAGCCGCUCAACGGUUGGGCUGCGGAGGAUACUACGUGGCUAGGAGGCGGGAGAGGCAAGCGGUACUCAGUGGGUAGGGGUAAAAUCCUUUGAUCCAUUGAAGACCACCAGUGGCGAAGGCGGCUUGCCAGAACGCGCUCGACGGUGAGGGAUGAAAGCUGGGGGAGCAAACCGG